RNAcentral lists this ribosomal RNA (180 nucleotides) under uncultured soil bacterium. Its description in RNAcentral is "partial 16S ribosomal RNA". It matches the Rfam family "Bacterial small subunit ribosomal RNA", at positions 26 to 205 of the family's 1533-position model. The record is from RNAcentral.
AAAUUGAACGCUGGCGGCAUGCCUUACACAUGCAAGUCGAACGGCAGCACGGGAGCAAUCCUGGUGGCGAGUGGCGAACGGGUGAGUAAUAUAUCGGAACGUGCCCAGUCGUGGGGGAUAACGCAGCGAAAGCUGUGCUAAUACCGCAUACGAUCUAUGGAUAGAAAGCGGGGGAUCGAC